AGACCCGAAACCCGGUGAUCUAGCCAUGGGCAGGUUGAAGGUUGGGUAACACUAACUGGAGGACCGAACCGACUAAUGUUGAAAAAUUAGCGGAUGACCUGUGGCUGGGGGUGAAAGGCCAAUCAAACCGGGAGAUAGCUGGUUCUCCCCGAAAGCUAUUUAGGUAGCGCCUCGUGAAUUCAUCUCCGGGGGUAGAGCACUGUUUCGGCUAGGGGGCCAUCCCGGCUUACCAACCCGAUGCAAACUGCGAAUACCGGAGAAUGUUAUCACGGGAGACACACGGCGGGUGCUAACGUCCGUCGUGAAGAGGGAAACAACCCAGACCGCCAGCUAAGGUCCCAAAGUCAUGGUUAAGUGGGAAACGAUGUGGGAAGGCCCAGACAGCCAGGAUGUUGGCUUAGAAGCAGCCAUCAUUUAAAGAAAGCGUAAUAGCUCACUGGUCGAGUCGGCCUGCGCGGAAGAUGUAACGGGGCUAAACCAUGCACCGAAGCUGCGGCAGCGACGCUGAUGCGUUGUUGGGUAGGGGAGCGUUCUGUAAGCCUGUGAAGGUGGCCUGUGAGGGUUGCUGGAGGUAUCAGAAGUGCGAAUGCUGACAUAAGUAACGAUAAAGCGGGUGAAAAGCCCGCUCGCCGGAAGACCAAGGGUUCCUGUCCAACGUUAAUCGGGGCAGGGUGAGUCGACCCCUAAGGCGAGGCCGAAAGGCGUAGUCGAUGGGAAACGGGUUAAUAUUCCCGUACUUGGUGUUACUGCGAAGGGGGGACGGAGAAGGCUAUGUUGGCCGGGCGACGGUU
This 791-nucleotide ribosomal RNA is filed under the name Salmonella enterica subsp. enterica serovar Rubislaw. RNAcentral's name for it is "partial 23S ribosomal RNA". It matches the Rfam family "Bacterial large subunit ribosomal RNA", at positions 711 to 1503 of the family's 2925-position model. The record is from RNAcentral. Lineage: Bacteria; Pseudomonadati; Pseudomonadota; Gammaproteobacteria; Enterobacterales; Enterobacteriaceae. RNAcentral also lists the same sequence under 6 other names.